This 1236-nucleotide ribosomal RNA is filed under the name metagenome. RNAcentral describes it as "bacterial LSU rRNA". It matches the Rfam family "Bacterial large subunit ribosomal RNA", at positions 1564 to 2810 of the family's 2925-position model. The record is from RNAcentral.
UGAGUACAAGAUGCUACGGCAUUGAAGCAGUCUAUGUCAUACUUCCAAGAAAAGCUUGCAAUGUCAUAAACAAAUAAUGCCUGUACCAUAACCGACACAGGUGGGUAGGUAGAGUAUACUAAGGGGCGCGAGAUAACUCUCUCUAAGGAACUCGGCAAAAUGACUCCGUAACUUCGGGAGAAGGAGUACCUUAUUUUAUAAGGUUGCAAUAACAAGGUCCAAGCAACUGUUUACCAAAAACACAGGUCUCCGCUAAGUCGUAAGACGAUGUAUGGGGGCUGACGCCUGCCCAGUGCCAGAAGGUUAAAGAAGUUGGUUAGCAUUAGCGAAGCUGAUAACUGAAGCCCUGGUGAACGGCGGCCGUAACAAUAACGGUCCUAAGGUAGCGAAAUUCCUUGUCGGGUUAGUUCCGACCCGCACGAAAGGCGUAAUGAUUUGGAUACUGUCUCGGAGAGGGGCUCGGUGAAAUAGACUUGUCUGUGAAGAUGCGGACUACCUGCACCUGGACAGAAAGACCCUAUGAAGCUUUACUGUAACUUGAGAUUGAAAUUGGACUUUAUUUGCGCAGUAUAGGUGGGAGACCUCGAAAGUAUUCUUGCGGGAAUAUUGGAGUCAUCAGUGAGAUACCACUCUUAUAAUGUUAGAUUUCUAACUUUGUAUCAUUAUCUGGUCAAAGAACAGUUUCAGGCGGGCAGUUUGACUGGGGCGGUCGCCUCCCAAAUGGUAACGGAGGCGCACAAAGGUUUCCUCUGAACGUGUAGAAAUCGUAUCUAGAGUGUAAAGGCAUAAGGAAGCUUGACUGUGAGACCUACAAGUCGAGCAGGGACGAAAGUCGGUCUUAGUGAUCUGACGGUGCUGAGUGGAAAGGCCGUCACUCAACGGAUAAAAGUUACUCUAGGAUAACAGGCUGAUCUCACCCAAGAGUUCACAUCGACGGGGAGGUUUGGCACCUCGAUGUCGGCUCAUCGCAUCCUGGGGCGGUAGUACGUCCCAAGGGUUGGGCUGUUCGCCCAUGAAAGCGGUACGCGAGCUGGGUUCAGAACGUCGUGAGACAGUUCGGUCCAUAUCCGGUGUAGGCGUUAGAAUAUUGAGAGGAGCCUUCUUAGUACGAGAGGACCGAGAAGGACAUACCUCUGGUGUACCAGUUAUCGUGCCAACGGUAAACGCUGGGUAGCUAUGUAUGGAGAGGAUAACCGCUGAAAGCAUCUAAGUGGGAAGCCCAUCUCAAGAUAAGUA